UACGAAGGGGGCUAGCGUUGCUCGGAAUUACUGGGCGUAAAGCGUGCGCAGGCGGUUAUGCAAGACAGAUGGGAAAUCCCCGGGCUCAACCUGGGAACUGCAUUUGUGACUGCAUAGCUAGAGUACGGUAGAGGGGGAUGGAAUUCCGCGUGUAGCAGUGAAAUGCGUAGAUAUGCGGAGGAACACCGAUGGCGAAGGCAAUCCCCUGGACCUGUACUGACGCUCAUGCACGAAAGCGUGGGGAGCAAACAGG
Molecule: ribosomal RNA, 253 nt
Filed under: uncultured bacterium
Lineage: Bacteria
Description: partial 16S ribosomal RNA
Rfam family: Bacterial small subunit ribosomal RNA
Source: RNAcentral